RNAcentral lists this ribosomal RNA (460 nucleotides) under uncultured bacterium. Its description in RNAcentral is "partial 16S ribosomal RNA". It matches the Rfam family "Bacterial small subunit ribosomal RNA", at positions 338 to 795 of the family's 1533-position model. The record is from RNAcentral.
CCUACGGGAGGCAGCAGUGAGGAAUAUUGGUCAAUGGACGAAAGCCUGAACCAGCCAAGUAGCGUGAAGGAUGACUGCCCUACGGGUUGUAAACUGCUUUUAUAUGGGAAUAAAAUGUCCCACGUGUGGGACUUUGUAUGUACCGUAUGAAUAAGGACCGGCUAACUCCGUGCCAGCAGCCGCGGUAAUACGGAGGAUCCGAGCGUUAUCCGGAUUUAUUGGGUUUAAAGGGAGCGUAGGUGGAUUGUUAAGUCAGUUGUGAAAGUUUGGGGCUCAACCGUGGCAUUGCAGUUGGAACUGGCAGUCUUGAGUACAGUAGAGGUAGGCGGAAUUCGUGGUGUAGCGGUGAAAUGCUUAGAUAUCACGAAGAACCCCGAUUGCGAAGGCAGCUCGCUGGACUGCAACUGACGCUGAGGCUCGAAAGUGUGGGUAUCGAACAGGAUUAGAUACCCGAGUAGUC